RNAcentral lists this ribosomal RNA (504 nucleotides) under uncultured bacterium. RNAcentral's name for it is "partial 16S ribosomal RNA". It matches the Rfam family "Bacterial small subunit ribosomal RNA", at positions 28 to 523 of the family's 1533-position model. The record is from RNAcentral.
GAUGAACGCUAGCGGCAGGCUUAAUACAUGCAAGUCGAGGGGCAGCAGCUUUAUAGCAAUAUAGAGGCUGGCGACCGGCAAACGGGUGCGGAACACGUACACAACCUUCCUUUAAGAGGGGGACAGCCCAUAGAAAUGUGGAUUAAUACCCCGUAACAUAUCGGUGUGGCAUCACACUGUUAUUAUAGUUUCGACGCUUGAAGAUGGGUGUGCGGCUGAUUAGGUAGUUGGCGGGGUAAAGGCCCACCAAGCCUUCGAUCAGUAGCUGAUGUGAGAGCAUGAUCAGCCACACGGGCACUGAGACGCGGGCCCGACUCCUACGGGAGGCAGCAGUAAGGAAUAUUGGUCAAUGGACGCAAGUCUGAACCAGCCAUGCCGCGUGAAGGAUGAAGGUCCUCUGGAUUGUAAACUUCUUUUAUAGGGGGCGAAAAAAGGGAAUUCUUUCUCACUUGACAGUACCCUAUGAAUAAGCACCGGCUAACUCCGUGCCAGCCGCCGCCGUAA